UAGGGAAUCUUCCACAAUGGACGAAAGUCUGAUGGAGCAACGCCGCGUGAGCGAUGAAGGCCUUCGGGUCGUAAAGCUCUGUUGUUAGGGAAGAACAAGUACCGGAGUAACUGCCGGUACCUGACGGUACCUACCAGAA
RNAcentral lists this ribosomal RNA (139 nucleotides) under uncultured bacterium. Its description in RNAcentral is "partial 16S ribosomal RNA". It matches the Rfam family "Bacterial small subunit ribosomal RNA", at positions 355 to 487 of the family's 1533-position model. The record is from RNAcentral.